Macaca fascicularis (crab-eating macaque) is the source of this 2101-nucleotide long non-coding RNA. NCBI's taxonomy places the organism in Eukaryota, Metazoa, Chordata, Mammalia, Primates, Cercopithecidae. The record is from Ensembl.
UUUUUUCUUUUUUUCGAGACAGAGUUUCACUCUGUCGCCCAGGGUGGAGUGCAGUGACGCCAUCUCGGCUCACUAUAACCUCUGCCUCCUGGGUUCAAAUGAUUCUCCUGUUUCAACCUCCCAAGUACCUGGGACUACAGGCAUGCCACCACACCCAGCUAGUUUUUGUAUUCUUAGUAAAGAUGGGGUUUCACCAUAUUGGUCAGGCUGGUCUCAAACUCCUGACCUCAUGAUCCUCCCGCCUCAGCCUCCCAAAGUGGUGGGAUUACAGGCGUGAGUCACUGCACCUGGCCUACUUUACCGGUUUUGUUCCUGAAUGAAUCCUGUCAUUACUAUCAAUAAUGUCAAUCAGUGCCAUUUCAUUCACCGUGUGACACACACACAAAGCACUUCAUACUCGCUCCACCUAUCUGCUUUUCUGCAAUGGCCGCAGUGUUCCCCAUCUUACACGAGAGGCACAGAGAAAGACAAUGACUUCUCCAAGGUUUUGUAAUUCACAAUCAGUGGCAGAACCAACAUAUCCAACCCGGUCUGGCCAAGGCCUGUGUUUCAGCCACACCACUUGGUUGCUGCCCCUAAGGCUCAAUGGGCAAGUGACAGAUCACUCCGAUUGCAGAGGCUGCAGAAAUGCCUUCCGCCAUAGUACAAUGGACGGUUCGCUCUCAGGAGGGGAGGCAGGGGUGGGAAUCAGCACACGGUUCUGCUCGGUUUCUCAUGCAGGGCACAGACUAUGUAUUUUGUGCCUUGCUUUGGAGGUGAAAUGUCUCCUGCCCCCUGUACCACAGCUUUCUUUGGCCUCUCCACAUAAAAGUACAACUGAGUUCCUCAGGGGCAGGCAGUGAUCACUGCCCUGUGCCACACCUGACUGCUGUCCCAAUAGGUGGACACACAGGCUCUUCUCUUAUGGCCCAGGCUGCCCCCAUCUGCUAAGCAUUGAAAACUACACACAGGAUUUGCAGAACAUUAAUGACAUGGAGGUGACUGCUUCAUCUCUGUUGAAAACUUACUGCAGUGUUGUAAAGAAGAGAAUUCAGGAAAAGCUGAACAUUUGAGGCUGGCUGGCUGUAAUCUUCAGCUGCUGAGAAAGCCUCAGCUGCUCGGUUCCACUGUGGAAAUGCAACUCCUCCCUCAAAGUCCAACUCAAGUACACCUCCUCUGCGGUGCCUGCCCCUUCCUCCCUUUCACAAGCACGUGCUCCCUCUGCAGUCCCAGAGCAUUCUAUCGCCACCUCUGGAGCCACACUGUCCCAGCCGACAGCCAGCUCAGUGCACAGCUGCCUCUCCCUGUGUGUACCUGCAGGCCCCACCUGGGCUGGAAGGCUGCCUCCUUCUCCUCCGCACAGAGGAGACACUCAGGACCUACUGAAUGAGGGAGGGAGUGGAUGAGCAAGAUCAGCCAAGGGCCACAGGGAAUGGCCUGCAGCUCCCAGCAGGAACAGCCAAUGCCCUGCCAAUCAGGAGGUGCUGGCUCUGUUCUCAGCAGGGCUGCUAAAAGCUCCCUUAUAACAGCUCUAGGCCACAACGACCAACUUGGUGUCAGGCCCUAAAGACACCAAAAAUCCUAACAAAUAAAGAGGCGGCUAUGCAGCAUGCUGGUUAGAAGCACAGGCUUCGGAGUCAGAGCUUGAAUUCCACUUAUUAGGUGACCCUGAGCAAGUUACUCAAGGCAUCAAUCUCAUUUUGUCACCAGCAAAAUGAGGACAUUAUCCGCCACACAGUGUUGCUGAAAAAGUAAGAGAGGUGACAGACGCAAAGUGCUUGGCACUUACUUACUCUUACUGGUUUAUUACAAAGAAGAGAACACAGGAACAGCCAAAUGCAAGAGAUGCACAGGGCACACCACAGGGCAGAGAGGUCGGGGCUCCCAUGCCGUCCCUGGAAGUGCCACCUCCCCAGCACCAAAUGAGUUCACCAAACCAGAAGCUCUCCAAACCCAGUAUUUAGAGGGUUUUAUGGAGUUUUCAUAACAUAGACAUGAUGAAGUCCUUGGCCAACCGUGACUAGCUCAAUCUCCAGCCUGUCUCAUCUCCCCUCCCAGAGGUAGGGGUGGGGCUGGUAUGUCCAACUCUUUACUCAUGACUCAUCUUUCUGGCAACCAGCCC